Molecule: long non-coding RNA, 1297 nt
Filed under: Sinocyclocheilus grahami
Lineage: Eukaryota; Metazoa; Chordata; Actinopteri; Cypriniformes; Cyprinidae
Description: lncRNA (ENSSGRG00000014133.1)
Source: RNAcentral
UGUUCUCUAAAUUGAAAUCUUCUUCCCUGCUGAAUGUUAUUUGGUGUCUCACCACUAGAGGGCAACAGCAGCUCCGUGAGCAGCCAACAGGUACUGACCUCCACUGUGACCAGCUCAGGCUCUGGAGGAGCUUCAGGAGGAGCUGUUCUGGUGGAGAAGAAGAUCAUCACCCAGAGCAGUGCUGAAGGAGGUGCUUCCUCCUCCUCGUCUGGAAGUUCAGGCAGCAGCAGUUCAGGAGCAGGAUCUGUGAUAAGUGGAUUUGAUGAAAUAUAUCGCGUAACCGGACCGAUUAUUAGCUCUACAGUUAAAAGUUCUAGCUCUGCAGUUAAAAGCUCUAGCAGUGUCUCUACUUCCAUCACAACAGUAGGUGGUUCCUCAGCAACAGGUGGAGAUCUUUCCUCUGGAUACGGGUGCAUCUCCUCCUCUGAGGUUGUGUCUGGUUCUUCAGGCGGUUCUGUUAGUGUUUCUGGAGGCAGUAUGAACAUAUCCAGAGGUAGAGGAGGUGGCGCUGGCUCCUCUGCAGUCAUGCCUGCCGCAGGAACCUCCAGUUCCAUGACUGUGACCAAGUUCAGCUCCUCGUCGCCUAGUGGCACAAGGAAAGGUUUGAGUUACAGCACAGUUCCUACAGAGAGGAAGACCAGUCUGAGCCUUCACACUGGAGGAUAUGAGGGUAAAUCAGAGAUUAUGACGCUUUAGGAUAUAUUGAUUGAUUUCAAAUGAGAGGAAUUUCACACUGUGUGUGUAAUUGUUGAUAUUAGUUAAAAUAGGCAUUAUUAAUCAGAUUAAACAGUAUGUAUGUAAUGUAUAUUUACCCAGGGAGCUCCAGUGGCAAUUCUUCCCCUGAAUACAUAAAGAAAGAAUAUGGUAUGUCCAUUUAGUAUUUUGUUUUGGGACUAGUCUGAAUUUCAGGGGGAAAAAUAAAUUUGUAAUUUGUAGUAUGCAUGACAGAAAUCAUUCAUUUAUCAUUAAUCAGCACAAUUUACAAAACCCACAAACUCACCUUUUUUUCCCUCACCUACUCGUGUUUAACUGGUUCCGUAUGGGGUUACAUUUCUGCCACAAUUCUGCGCGCGAAAGAUCAUAUUUUGAGCGCACAAAAGUGCGCGAUCUGAGUUUUGUGGAGAAAAUGUUCGUUUCGCAAUGAAAAAAGUCUUUCGAGCGCACGGAAAUCCAUUUUGCAUUUAAAAUAGGUUUUUGGAUGUGUGCAGACCUUCUCUUUUGCGCGUGCAACGUUUCACUAGCUUGCUCGCCCUCAGUGCUCGCUAAAUACCAACAGCUCGCCUGCUCAACACAACCC